Molecule: ribosomal RNA, 319 nt
Filed under: uncultured eukaryote
Lineage: Eukaryota
Description: partial 18S ribosomal RNA
Rfam family: Eukaryotic small subunit ribosomal RNA
Source: RNAcentral
CCCUUAGAUGUUCUGGGCAGCACGCGCGCUACAAUGGUCUUCGCAAACGGAUGCAUUCUCGAAGGAGAAUGCCAAUCUUGGAAUCUAUGCAUUGGUCGGGACAGUUGCUUGCAAUUUUUCGACUCGAACCAGGAAUUCCUUGUAAUCGUGAUUCAUCACAUCACGAUGAAUACGUCCCUGCCCUUUGUACACACCGCCCGUCGCUCCUACCGAUCGAAGAGUUAGGUGAAUUGUUUUGAUCGAUAAGAUUUGACUAUGGUCAACUCUCGUUGUGAAAUUCUGUGAAUCUGACUGUUUAGAGGAAGGAAAAGUCGUAACA